CACCAGAAAUGUUUCUUCUUUUCAAUCCCCUAUUCCUUAUGGAAUUUCCUUUCCAAAGUCUGAGAUGCAGGAGGGCAAGUUUAGUCCUGCCUUAAGUGAAAACACCCUUGCCUAACUCUUUUGUACUGAAACUGGGAAUCCUGCAUUCAGAAAAGGGAAAUUCUUAUGGCUGCCAGAAGGUGUGAAGAGCAGUCAAGCCCUGAUACACAGAGCACACGGUAUCCAAGGAUGAUCAAGAGAACUCUUCGAUUUUAGGCGUAAUUUUUCCCUCCUGUCUGUUACCAUCGCUAAUAGAAGAAUUUUAUUAAGUUGUGGAACACAUAAAGUAGGCUUAGUAUCACCCCAAAAUCUAUGUAUAGCUUAUUUAAUAGCCUUCUACAACUGAUUUGUUCACAUGGGCUGUCUAGAGACCAAGGGUACACUUCAAAAUGCAAUAAUGCCACAGGCAGCUUUAGGUCUCUGACUGAAGAGCAAGAAUGGCUUAGCUUCAAACAGCCAUCCAGCACUCACACUGUCUGCCUCACUCUGCUCUGGCGUCUCAGCUGUAAGCUAGCUGCCUCCGACAUCUCCAAAGUCUACAGCACAAGGGCUCGAGGUAACUGGUUACUGAGUUUUGAUGCUACCUUUGCGCAUCUGUCAGUGCCCUGCUCUUCACUUUUUCUGCAGUUUAGAGCUUGGCCAGAUGAGCUCUGGCAGACUUGAUUCCAGCUGUCCACCCAUUCCUGUGCUGGAAGUGACUGAUGGAAGGGCAGUCAGAUAAGUCGUGUCUGCACCUCUGCUGUGCCUGACAGAUGUACUCUGACAUCUGAAACUGCAAGGAAAGAAAGCCUGUGUGUGUAUACCACAGUCUGAAACUGCCAGCUAAGGUGGGACACACAUCCUGCUCUACCACCCUUGCCAGAGAUGCUACAGCCUCGCUGGAAGAGCAGGACAACAACUGGGAACAAUCAAGCUCUAAACUAAUGCAAUAAUCUCUCCUUGAGAGGGAAGGGCCUUUGCAUUAAUUGCAUAUCAUCACUGUAGUAGGCUACAAAGCUAAAAUGGAGGAGGGGCCAGGAGCCCACUUUCGCGAAUGAUUUGUUAUUAAUCUUGUUGAAGCAUAUAAAUGUACAAAAGUAUCAACAGAGAAGGAAAAAAAACCUAACUCCACCCUGUCUAAUGUGGAAAAUCUACAUACAAAAAUAUAUGUAAUUUCAAUUCAAAGAUACAAAAUGGAUAUAAAAUAGAUCUCCAUCAAAUAUAGUAUGUGUUGCCUGCUCUCAAUGGGAUGGUAUUGCUUUGGAGAUAAAUAGGCUUUCUCCAUUUGUUCCUGUAAAAAGAGACAAAAAUCCCUCAAUUUAUUUAAGGGUUAACACCAACAAAUGUAUUAAAGAAAAAUAAAAAAGAUUCCUCAUUACUUUUCAGAUAGUUCAGCCCAGGAACAGUCUACCAAGUCAGUGCCAAUGACUUUAAAUGUGUGUGGAGCAUUAACCAAAAGAAGCCAAGGAAAAAGUGAAGAAAUACAAGAGGGGAAAAAAAAAAGCAGUCUUUUUUAUAAAUCAAAGAACACCAAACACUGACACUCAUGGAACCAACAAACCCUGCCUCCUUGUCCCCAGCAAGUCAGUAUGACUGAUGUUGUGGCGUCACUGCGUCAUUUCAAGUACUAAGACAGCAAAGAAGGGACCUAACUUGUUCUACACUGGAUUCCAACAGUAUGAUGCAUCAGCCUCAGAAAGACACCACUGCCUCCAAAAAGCCCAUUUGUGCAGCCAUCAUCAAU
Molecule: long non-coding RNA, 1762 nt
Organism: Cuculus canorus (common cuckoo)
Lineage: Eukaryota; Metazoa; Chordata; Aves; Cuculiformes; Cuculidae
Exons: 3
Source: RefSeq, a predicted model, not a curated record